This 552-nucleotide ribosomal RNA is filed under the name uncultured Bacteroidota bacterium. RNAcentral describes it as "bacterial SSU rRNA". It matches the Rfam family "Bacterial small subunit ribosomal RNA", at positions 79 to 630 of the family's 1533-position model. Lineage: Bacteria; Pseudomonadati; Bacteroidota. The record is from RNAcentral.
UUGCUUCCGCUGACGACCGGCGCACGGGUGCGUAACGCGUAUGCAACCUACCUCAUACUGGAGAAUAGCCCUUGGAAACGAGGAUUAAUGCUCCAUAGUAUCAUAGAUUCGCAUGUUUCUGUGAUUAAAGAAUUUCGGUAUGAGAUGGGCAUGCGUCCCAUUAGCUUGUUGGUGAGGUAACGGCUCACCAAGGCAACGAUGGGUAGGGGGCCUGAGAGGGUGACCCCCCACACUGGUACUGAGACACGGACCAGACUCCUACGGGAGGCAGCAGUGAGGAAUAUUGGGCAAUGGAGGCAACUCUGACCCAGCCAUGCCGCGUGAAGGAUGACUGCCCUAUGGGUUGUAAACUUCUUUUAUAUGGGAAGAAACUUAUCUACGUGUAGAUAACUGACGGUACCAUACGAAUAAGGAUCGGCUAACUCCGUGCCAGCAGCCGCGGUAAUACGGAGGAUCCAAGCGUUAUCCGGAUUCAUUGGGUUUAAAGGGUCCGUAGGCGGGUCUUUAAGUCAGUGGUGAAAGCCGACAGCUCAACUGUCGAACUGCCAUUGA